This 775-nucleotide ribosomal RNA is filed under the name uncultured Neocallimastigales. Its description in RNAcentral is "partial large subunit ribosomal RNA". It matches the Rfam family "Eukaryotic large subunit ribosomal RNA", at positions 26 to 639 of the family's 3401-position model. The record is from RNAcentral. Lineage: Eukaryota; Fungi; Neocallimastigomycota; Neocallimastigomycetes; Neocallimastigales.
CGCAUCUGUGCAUGCAGCAUAUCAAUAAGCGGAGGAAAAGAAACUAACAAGGAUUCCCUUAGUAACGGCGAGUGAAGCGGGAAGAGCUCAAAUUUGAAAUCUUCAAGGUUUUACCUUGACGAAUUGUAGUUUAAAGAAGUGUUUUCUGUUGAAGUUUUGGUAAAAGUUCUUUGGAAUAGGACAUCAUAGAGGGUGAGAAUCCCGUAUUUGACCAUUAUUUUCAGCUGUGUGAUACACUUUCAAAGAGUCGGAUUGUUUGGGAAUGCAGUCCAAAAUGGGUGGUAAAUUUCAUCUAAAGCUAAAUAUUGGCGAGAGACCGAUAGCGAACAAGUACCGUGAGGGAAAGAUGAAAAGAACUUUGAAAAGAGAGUUAAACAGUACGUGAAAUUGUCAAAAGGGAAGCGUUUGACACCAGUGUUGUUUUCUCGAAAAUCAAUUAAAAAGAGUUUAGAUUUUGUUGUGUAUUGAUCUUAACAGCUUGCAUUUCAAUUUUCUUGCUUUUUUUAAUGCACUUUUCGUUUAACAAGUCAACAUCAGUUUCUUUUGUUGUAAAAAGGUCAUUGGAAGGUGGCUUUCUUUUCGGAGAAAGUGUUUAUAGCCUUUGACUCCUGCAAUCGGAGAGACUGAGGUCUGCAGCGUAGAUCCUUCGGGGUUAGAUACAUUUGUGCUAAGUUAUAGCUUUUUAUAGACAACUUGUUGACUAUGAUUAGUCUUGUAGCUUACUCGCUUAUGCUAUUUUACCUACGCUUAGGAUGUUGACGCGCGUGUGUGCGUG